UCAACCAGUUGUAAUCACUCUGAGAUCAGUCGAUAUCUUCCUGAGACAUCUUCUUCACCUUUUCUAGUAAAGGACUUCUGAGUUCAGGUCAAUACCAUCUGCAAAAUUCACCAAGACCUUCAAUACAACGUCAAUUAUACUGGUUCCAACAUUGAUCAGCCUCAAUUCAUAUCAGUAUCAUCCAGUACAACAGGCAUAACUUCGCUCAAAUUGUCCUCUUCCAUCGCUGUACUUCUGGCCUCUUUUGCCCAUUGAUGGGUCUAUUCACACUCUCCAUCCCAUCCACUACCUCCCUCAACCGGCCUUGUCGAUCCGCGAAGGCUCUGUGGGCAAGACUUCUCGGACGAGGUGUGGGUUGUGCAAAGACAGGAGAUCGAUGAUGGAGUAUUCAUCAUUGCGAUGUUUCAUGACCCUGAUGACUCUCUCAAUCUCUUGCCGCUCUCUGUGGCCUCACAUUGGACGUAUUGAUAGUCAUGCUCAGGCUUUUAUGUACUGGUACAGUAUUAUUUUGGAGGUGAAAGAGUUGGUUCGAUGUCACUGAUUCAAUAGUUG
RNAcentral lists this small RNA (552 nucleotides) under Cryptococcus neoformans H99. RNAcentral's name for it is "Cryptococcus neoformans var. grubii H99 hypothetical RNA". The record is from RNAcentral. Lineage: Eukaryota; Fungi; Basidiomycota; Tremellomycetes; Tremellales; Cryptococcaceae.